AUGACGUUGUGCGCCGAUUUCGAUGCGCUCCGGGCGUCGGCGGCGGACGUGCGGAUCGUCACGUCGGACGGACAGAGUAUCGCGGCUCAUUCCUGCGUUCUUGCCUCGGCGUCGCCGGUACUGGAGCGCAUGAUCGACAGGGCGCGGCGCGGGUGGGGCGCCGAUUGCACCAUCCGCGUCCUCGGCGUCUCCUUCGACGCCGUCCGCGCCUUCCUCCAUUUCCUCUACUCCGCCAAGGUAGCACCGGAGGAGGAGGAGCUGGUGGGCGCGCACGGCGCGCAGCUGCUGGCGCUGGCGCACGCGUACCGGGUGGGAUGGCUGAAGCGGGCGGCGGAGGCCGCGGUGUCGGCGCGGCUCACGCCAGAGCGCGCUGUCGACAUGCUUAAGCUCGCCAGGCUCUGCGACGCGCGGCGGCUGUACCUGCACUGCGCGCGGCUCGCCGCCAAGGACUUCUCCGCCGUCGAGCGGUCGGACGGGUGGCGCUUCGCCCGCCGCCACGACGCCGCGCUCCAGCUCGAGCUCCUCCAGCUCCUGGAGGACGCUGACCAGCGCAAGGAGCGGUGGGCGCGCGAGAGGGCCGCGCAGGAGGCGUGCCGGCAGCUCGGCGAGGCCAUGGCCUCCCUCGAUCACAUCUUCCCCAGCGACGGCCCCGCCCGCGGGGACGCGCCGUGCGACAAGGCAGGGUGCACAUGCCGGGGCCUGCAGCUGCUGAUGCGGCACUUCGCGACGUGCGCGAGAAAGGCCGCGCCGGGCGGCUGCGCGCGGUGCAAGCGCAUGCUGCAGCUCUUCCGCCUCCACGCCUCCGUCUGCGACCGGCCGGACAAGGCCUGCCGUGUGCCGCUCUGCAGCCAUUUCAAGGCGAAGGCGCAGACGGAGAAAGAGGACAAGACAUGGCGGCUUCUGGUGAAGAAGGUGACGAGGGCGAAGGUGAUGUCCUCCUUGGCUGAUAGGAAGGUGGUGCCGGAGGUUGUGGUCAUGUCGUGGACGAUGUACAACGGCAGAGUGGCCAAGUUGAGAUGA
This 1020-nucleotide ribosomal RNA is filed under the name Triticum aestivum (bread wheat). RNAcentral's name for it is "partial small subunit ribosomal RNA". The record is from RNAcentral. Lineage: Eukaryota; Viridiplantae; Streptophyta; Magnoliopsida; Poales; Poaceae.